This is a non-coding RNA of Microcebus murinus (gray mouse lemur), 814 nucleotides long. Lineage: Eukaryota; Metazoa; Chordata; Mammalia; Primates; Cheirogaleidae. The record is from RefSeq and is a predicted model, not a curated record.
UGUGCCCACGGUACUCAGGGAGGUGGAGACAUCACCAAGGAUCAGCAUGGAGUAUCAUCUGUGUCUCCUGCAGGCUUCCUAAACCUGUCUAGCCAGUCAAUUACCAAGGCUGCUCUACAGAGUUAGACACACUUCCUCCGAGGAGCCCUUCUCUGGAUUUGCAUGUGCUUAAAGGAAACAAAGAAAAGAAAACAACUCUACUUGGCCAAGGGGACCACAGAGAAACCUUAAAACUAAGUUCCUACUCAUGAUGGGAUGGGAAGUCAGAUAUGCUUCAUUAUAUCCCCUCCUUCAUUACCUACCAUCAGCCUUUCCUCCCUAAGGUUAACAGAACUAACCCUUUGGACAGAUUUUCUACACUUCUGAUUUCAACCAGAGUGCUGCUCCUCCCUUUGUGGUUUGGACACAACUGAUCAGCAUUCCUUCCUGAGAAGAGACUACUGACCAGAGUGGUUUAUGGAGGAUGCGCAGUGAGAGUUUUCGUGUCCUUUGUUUCACCUUUUGACAAUCAGGGGGCUGAGAAUUCCAUCCUUGGAUCAUGCUAAUGCUGCCAUUUUUUGAACAGGGGACCCAUGAAGGCACCUGAAGCUCAAUUAUGCAUGCAUAUGAUUAUCCUUUCAUAAAUAUUCAUGACUUCCCCUAUAGCUCAUUAAAUAUGUAUAUUUAGCCACCCUACUUAGCAUAAAUCCCUGUUCCCUUUCCCUAGAAGUGCCUGUUUCUUCAUUCUGGCUAGAGGCUCUGCUUCCUAAGCUUGUCAGUAUGACCACGCUGCACACCGCAACCCUUUAUGAGGAAUAAAGCUCUCCUUUCCAAA